ACGUAUUUAGUAAUAUCACUCGUCCGAUCACCGAAGUUAAGCAAUGUUGGGCCCGGUCAGUACUUGGGAGGGUGACCACCUGGGAACACCGAGUGCUGUAGGGU
Molecule: non-coding RNA, 104 nt
Organism: Cordylochernes scorpioides
Lineage: Eukaryota; Metazoa; Arthropoda; Arachnida; Pseudoscorpiones; Chernetidae
Source: the annotation of a GenBank genome assembly